This 506-nucleotide ribosomal RNA is filed under the name uncultured bacterium. RNAcentral's name for it is "partial 16S ribosomal RNA". It matches the Rfam family "Bacterial small subunit ribosomal RNA", at positions 29 to 523 of the family's 1533-position model. The record is from RNAcentral.
AGUGAACGCUGGCGGUAGGCCUAACACAUGCAAGUCGAACGGCAGCACAGGAGAGCUUGCUCUCUGGGUGGCGAGUGGCGGACGGGUGAGGAAUACAUCGGAAUCUACUCUGUCGUGGGGGAUAACGUAGGGAGACUUACGCUAAUACCGCAUACGACCUACGGGUGAAAGCAGGGGAUCUUCGGACCUUGCGCGAUUGAAUGAGCCGAUGUCGGAUUAGCUAGUUGGCGGGGUAAAGGCCCACCAAGGCGACGAUCCGUAGCUGGUCUGAGAGGAUGAUAAGCCACACUGGAACUGAGACACGGUCCAGACUCCUACGGGAGGCAGCAGUGGGGAAUAUUGGACAAUGGGCGCAAGCCUGAUCCAGCCAUACCGCGUGGGUGAAGAAGGCCUUCGGGUUGUAAAGCCCUUUUGUUGGGAAAGAAAUCCAGCUGGCUAAUACCCGGUUGGGAUGACGGUACCCAAAGAAUAAGCACCGGCUAACUUCGUGCCAGCAGCCGCGGUAA